UUGACCUCGGAUCAGGUAGGACUACCCGCUGAACUUAAGCAUAUCAAUAAGCGGAGGAAAAGAAACCAACAGGGAUUGCCCCAGUAACGGCGAGUGAAGCGGCAACAGCUCAGAUUUGGAAUCUGGCCCCCAGGGCCCGAGUUGUAAUCUGGAGAGGAUGCUUCUGGCGCGGCGCCUUCCGAGUUCCCUGGAACGGGACGCCGGAGAGGGUGAGAGCCCCGUACGGUUGGACGCCUAGCCUUUGUGAAGCUCCUUCGACGAGUCGAGUAGUUUGGGAAUGCUGCUCAAAAUGGGAGGUAAAUUUCUUCUAAAGCUAAAUACCGGCCAGAGACCGAUAGCGCACAAGUAGAGUGAUCGAAAGAUGAAAAGCACUUUGAAAAGAGGGUCAAACAGUACGUGAAAUUGUUGAAAGGGAAGCGCCCGUGGGCAGACUUGUGCCCCGCGGACCACCCGGCGCCCUUAGCGCCGGUGCACUCCGCGGGGCGCAGGCCAGCAUCGGUUUUCCUAGGGGGAUAAAGGCGGCGGGAA
RNAcentral lists this ribosomal RNA (528 nucleotides) under Leptographium clavigerum. RNAcentral's name for it is "eukaryotic LSU rRNA". It matches the Rfam family "Eukaryotic large subunit ribosomal RNA", at positions 1 to 534 of the family's 3401-position model. The record is from RNAcentral. Lineage: Eukaryota; Fungi; Ascomycota; Sordariomycetes; Ophiostomatales; Ophiostomataceae.